UGAACGCUGGCGGUAGGCCUAACACAUGCAAGUCGAACGGCAGCACAGUAAGAGCUUGCUCUUAUGGGUGGCGAGUGGCGGACGGGUGAGGAAUACAUCGGAAUCUACUCUGUCGUGGGGGAUAACGUAGGGAAACUUACGCUAAUACCGCAUACGACCUACGGGUGAAAGCAGGGGAUCUUCGGACCUUGCGCGAUUGAAUGAGCCGAUGUCGGAUUAGCUAGUUGGCGGGGUAAAGGCCUACCAAGGCUACGAUCGUUAGCUGGUCUGAGAGGAUGAUCAGCCACACUGGGACUGAGACACGGCCCCAGACUCCUACGGGAGGCAGCAGUGGGGAAUAUUGGACAAUGGGCGAAAGCCUGAUCCAGCAAUGCCGCGUGUGUGAAGAAGGUCUUCGGAUUGUAAAGCACUUUCGACGGGACGAUGAUGACGGUACCCGUAGAAGAAGCCCCGGCUAACUUCGCGCCAGGAG
Molecule: ribosomal RNA, 472 nt
Filed under: uncultured Agrobacterium sp.
Lineage: Bacteria; Pseudomonadati; Pseudomonadota; Alphaproteobacteria; Hyphomicrobiales; Rhizobiaceae
Description: bacterial SSU rRNA
Rfam family: Bacterial small subunit ribosomal RNA
Source: RNAcentral